RNAcentral lists this ribosomal RNA (301 nucleotides) under uncultured bacterium. RNAcentral describes it as "partial 16S ribosomal RNA". It matches the Rfam family "Bacterial small subunit ribosomal RNA", at positions 509 to 807 of the family's 1533-position model. The record is from RNAcentral.
CAGUCGCCGCGGGAAUACGUAGGGUGCGAGCGUUAGUCGGAAUUACUGGGCGUAAAGCGUGCGCAGGCGGUUAUAUAAGACAGAUGUGAAAUCCCCGGGCUCAACCUGGGACCUGCAUUUGUGACUGUAUAGCUAGAGUACGGUAGAGGGGGGUGGAAUUCCGCGUGUAGCAGUGAAAUGCGUAGAUAUGCGGAGGAACACCGAUGGCGAAGGCAGCCCCCUGGGCCAACACUGACGCUCAUGCACGAAAGCGUGGGGAGCAAACAGGAUUAGAUACCCGCGUAGUCCCUGUCUCUUAUAC